Molecule: long non-coding RNA, 1020 nt
Filed under: Naja naja (Indian cobra)
Lineage: Eukaryota; Metazoa; Chordata; Lepidosauria; Squamata; Elapidae
Description: lncRNA (ENSNNAG00000012856.1)
Source: RNAcentral
CCUCCGUCCGCCUGGCGGGCGAGCGCCGGGGCGGCCGAGGCGUCGCUUCGGGGCGGGCGGUGGAGCACCUGCUGGCGGCGACGGGCUGAAGGCAGGCAGGCAGGCGGCGGCGGAACGGCUUCGGAGAGGAUUCGCUGGCGGCCGGAGCUGGUGGCGCUUUCUCGGCCGGGGAAGACGGAGUGGCUCUCCGGGGUCCCGCUUCGAGGAACAGAUCUCCCGGCCGCGUUUUCCGGCGAAGCUGUCCCCGGACCUCCCUUCGGAAAGGAGGGGAGUGGCGGCCGGGCAUUUCUAGGACCCGGUGUGACACACCGUUACGAAAAUGUUAAAGUAGUGGAGGUAAUGUUAAGUUUCAAGAUACAGGAAAUAGGCUGUAUUUCUGAUACCGUAAAUUUCUCAAAUCACUUCUGAGACACACAAAAAUAUGAAUAUUCUCUUUCUCACAUGCAACCAAGCAUGUAUUCCCCAUACAGGCUUCAUUUACCCAUUGCACUAAGACAUAGCUUGUUGAUAGUAAGCCUUAAAUUAUAGCUUAGAAAUCACAGUGCCUGGGUUCACACAAUAGGUAAAACUAAACAGGCAAUGUUAUGGCUAAAAUGAUUCUACUCUAUGGGAGAAUGUGUGUGUAAGUGUGUAUGUGAUGGGGAAACUCCCUAGGAAGGUUGCAAACAACAAACCCAGGAUGCUACAACCAGUUUAAUCUAAAGUUUAAUCAUAUGACUGUGGGGAUGCUGCAAUAGUCAUAAGUGUGAGAACUGGUCAUAAGUCAGAUUUUUUCAGAGCUGUUGUAAAUUUGAAUGGUCAUUAAAUGAAUGGUUGUAAGUCAAGGACUACCUGUAAUCCUCCUCCUGAAAAUAUUGAACAUCAGGCAGCUGUCUAAGGUGGUCUGGAGCAGGGCUCUCCAACCUUGGCAGCUUUAAACCUGACGGACUUGAACUCCAGCAAAGGAAUUCUGGGAGUUGAAGUCUGCCAGGCUUAAAGUGGCCAUGGUUGGAGACCCCUGGUCUGUAGGCUAAAGGAGAG